This 2702-nucleotide long non-coding RNA is filed under the name Homo sapiens (human). RNAcentral's name for it is "novel transcript". Lineage: Eukaryota; Metazoa; Chordata; Mammalia; Primates; Hominidae. The record is from RNAcentral.
GGGGUGGGGGGUGGGGCGGCAGCUGGAGAGUGGGGGCUUCCCCAGCGGGAGAGGGAGGACGAUUCUGGAUGGCUUCCCUCCUUGUGGACAGAGUGAGUCUCUGCUAUGAGAAAGUUGGCUCCUAGACCCGUGUUGGAGCCACACUGCCCGGGACAGCCCUGAAGCAGCCACGUCCCCACCUUUCAGGAGUCGGCCAAGAGCACGGUGGCUGCAGAAGGCCCUGGCUGAUGGAGAUAACAUUUGACAAACAGGUGCUUUUCCAAUUAUGGAUAACAACAGAAAAGCAGUCAUUGGUUUCUAAAAGGUCAUCAAGAUAUAAAGCCCGUUUGGGAAGGGAAUGACUUACGCAGUGGGCUUGUAUAAAUCUGGAGAAGUUUUAUGCACAAGUCGGACAAGAAAUGUGUUCUACAUACGGCUCGGGAGCCAGCAAGUGCGUAUGAAGCCCCUUCACAUGGCUAGUGGCAUCCUAAGGACCCGGCGACAAUUAGUCAUGGCGUCAUCGAACACCAGGCUGGAGGAGGUCUUGGAUGCCACAGCUCCUUUUGAAUUUCAAAGACGUUCAAAUCCCCAUCUGGCUGUUACACUUUUAGGCUAUUGAGAGUGAAAACAAGCACUGACAUGAACACCCAACCAGCUGCCGGUGACAUCGUCCCCUUCUGAGAUCUGAGGACAUGGAUACCCAACCACCUGCCGGUGACAUCGUCUCCUUCUGAGAUCUGAGGACAUGAACACCCAACCACCUGCCGGUGAUAUCGUCCCCUUCUGAGAUCUGAGGACGUGGAUAUCCAACCACCUGCCGGUGACAUUGUCUCCUUCUGAGAUCUGAGGACAUGGACACCAAACCACCUGCCGGUGACAUUGUCUCCUUCUGAGAUCUGAGGACAUGAACACCAAACCACCUGCCAGUGACAUCGUCCCCUUCUGAGAUCUGAGGACAUGGAUACCCAACCACCUGCCGGUGACAUCGUCUCCUUCUGAGAUCUGAGGACAUGGACACCCAACCACCUGCCGGUGACAUCGUCUCCUUCUGAGAUCUGAGGACAUGAACACCCAACCACCUGCCGGUGAUAUCGUCCCCUUCUGAGAUCUGAGGACGUGGAUAUCCAACCACCUGCCGGUGACAUUGUCUCCUUCUGAGAUCUGAGGACAUGGACACCAAACCACCUGCCGGUGACAUUGUCUCCUUCUGAGAUCUGAGGACAUGAACACCAAACCACCUGCCAGUGACAUCGUCCCCUUCUGAGAUCUGAGGACAUGGAUACCCAACCACCUGCCGGUGACAUCAUCUUCUUCUGAGAUCUGAGGACAUGGACACCCAACCACCUGCCGGUGACAUCGUCUCCUUCUGAGAUCUGAGGACAUGGACACCAAACCACCUGCCGGUGACAUCGUCUCCUUCUGAGAUCUGAGGACAUGAACACCCAACCACCUGCCGGUGAUAUCGUCCCCUUCUGAGAUCUGAGGACGUGGAUAUCCAACCACCUGCCGGUGACAUUGUCUCCUUCUGAGAUCUGAGGACAUGGACACCAAACCACCUGCUGGUGACAUUGUCUCCUUCUGAGAUCUGAGGACAUGAACACCAAACCACCUGCCAGUGACAUCGUCCCCUUCUGAGAUCUGAGGACAUGGAUACCCAACCACCUGCCGGUGACAUCAUCUUCUUCUGAGAUCUGAGGACAUGGACACCCAACCACCUGCCGGUGACAUCGUCUCCUUCUGAGAUCUGAGGACAUGGACACCAAACCACCUGCCGGUGACAUCGUCUCCUUCUGAGAUCUGAGGACAUGAACACCCAACCACCUGCCGGUGACAUCGUCCCCUUCUGAGAUCUGAGGACAUUGAUACCCAGCCACCUGCCGGUGACAUCGUCUCCUUCUGAGAUCUGAGGAUAUGGACACCAAACCACCUGCCGGUGACAUCGUCUCCUUCUGAGAUCUGAGGACAUGAACACCCAACCACCUGCCGGUGACAUCGUCCCCUUCUGAGAUCUGAGGACAUGGAUACCCAACCACCUGCCGGUGACAUCGUCUCCUUCUGAGAUCUGAGGACAUGGACACCCAACCUGCUGCUGGUGACAUCGUUCCCUUCUGAGAUCUGAGGACAUGGACACCAAACCACCUGCCAGUGACAUCGUCUCCUUCUGAGAUCUGAGGACAUGGACACCAAACCUGCUGCCGGUGACAUCGUCCCCUUCUGAGAUCUGAGGACAUGGACACCCAACCACCUGCCGGUGACAUCGUCUCCUUCUGAGGUCUGAGGACAGACACUCACAUGGACACCUAAACACCUGCCGAUGAUAUUGUCUCCUUCUGAAAUCUGAGGACAUGGACACCCAACCAGCUGCUGGUGACAUCAUCUCCUUCUGAGAUCUGAGGACAGACACUCACAUAGACGCCCAAUCAGCUGCUGGUGACAUUGUCUCCUUCUGAAAUCUGAGGGUUGGAACACAUUGGCCUGGCUCAGUGUUUCUCCAUGUGGUUUUGAGACCACCUGAGUUGGAACCGAUAUGGGUUCCCAGCCUCACGCCUGGAGAGCUGGAUUUUGCGAGUGUGAGGUUAGGUCCAGCAUCUGCAUGUGUAACGAGCUCCCAGGUGUUUCGUAGAUGCAUUAGGGCUUGAGAAGCUCCUUUCUAGCACCAUCUUCCUUUUUGCGCAUGAGGGAGUUCAGGUCCAGAGAAAUAAAGCAGCAAGGUUAGUGGCACA